AUGUGGUCCAACUCAGAAGGCCAGAGUGAGACACUCCUCCAUCCCAAGGUCCCUCCAAUCCCAACAGAAACAGAAGAUACAGACGUGCUGUGGGGAAGAACACGGGAGGAACUGGAGAACUUGCUGAUCACGCGACCCGUCGGCGGCUGGGAAGGGAUGAGCAUCCACUCUCUGGGGGAAAUCAUUUGGUCCUCCCUGGUUUUCCUGAGAAGUUACUACACGGAGGAGAUGUGUGAAUGCUACCUCGUGCUGUUCUCCUUCCACUUGCUGAUUCUUUCAGUGGACCGUAGAAAGAAGGCGUUUGUUUAUGAGGUAAAGCACAAGGAUCCUUUUGUGUCUCUCGUAUUUAUGUUCAUAUUCAAUAUUUCCUAAAUAUCUCUCUGCUCACAGCACAGGCAGAUGAAAUUCCAUCUGGUUCAUACAAAGUACUUUUCAACACCAGCCUUGGUCUGUUGGUGGAGCUCACCCCUAAAUCUCAGAGUACUUUAUGAAUGAGGACAGUCAUUUUAUGAAUAGGAAAACACGGAUAACAGCCCCCCCCCCAUUUCCUACAUCUUCAGCCACUGAGAUGAGUGUCGUCCCACACAGACUUCCUUAAAGUCCAAGGUUCCAAGGAUGGGAAAUUUUUCAGCAGAAAAGCAUUUUGCUGUACAUCAGAGGGACCACAGUGGGACACAGAGAAGUUGUUGUUACCAACCAAUUUCUAACUCCAUUCCAUUCCACACCAGGGUCUCCUUCCUCUUGCUGGGAUGUGUCUGAGAGAGAUCACGGGCGCAAUCAACCACACAUUGGAAAUUUCUGGUAAGCACAUUCUCCAGUUCCUGAAGGGCUUGUGACAGUCACAAAGCAGUGAUACCCA
This 859-nucleotide long non-coding RNA is filed under the name Calidris pugnax (ruff). RNAcentral's name for it is "lncRNA (ENSCPUG00000012641.1)". Lineage: Eukaryota; Metazoa; Chordata; Aves; Charadriiformes; Scolopacidae. The record is from RNAcentral.